AAGACCUUGCGCUUUUGGAGCGGCCGAUGCCUGAUUAGCUUGUUGGUAAGGUAAAAGCUUACCAAGGCUUCGAUCAGUAGCUGGUCUGAGAGGACGACCAGCCACACUGGGACUGAGACACGGCCCAGACUCCUACGGGAGGCAGCAGUGGGGAAUUUUGGACAAUGGGGGCAACCCUGAUCCAGCCAUGCCGCGUGAGUGAAGAAGGCCUUCGGGUUGUAAAGCUCUUUCAGCCGGAACGAAACGGUUACGGUUAAUACCCGUGAUUACUGACGGUACCGGAAGAAGAAGCACCGGCUAACUACGUGCCAGCAGCCGCGGUAAUACGUAGGGUGCGAGCGUUAAUCGGAAUUACUGGGCGUAAAGCGUGCGCAGGUGGUUUUGUAAGUCAGACGUGAAAGCCCCGGGCUCAACCUGGGAACU
This 423-nucleotide ribosomal RNA is filed under the name uncultured bacterium. RNAcentral describes it as "bacterial SSU rRNA". It matches the Rfam family "Bacterial small subunit ribosomal RNA", at positions 207 to 622 of the family's 1533-position model. The record is from RNAcentral.